Molecule: ribosomal RNA, 490 nt
Filed under: uncultured bacterium
Lineage: Bacteria
Description: partial 16S ribosomal RNA
Rfam family: Bacterial small subunit ribosomal RNA
Source: RNAcentral
UGAACGCUGGCGGUAGGCCUACCACAUGCAAGUCGACCGGCAGCACAGUAAGAGCUUGCUCUUACGGGUGGCGAGUGGCGGACGGGUGAGGAAUACAUCGGAAUCUACUUUUUCGUGGGGGAUAACGUAGGGAAACUUACGCUAAUACCGCAUACGACCUACGGGUGAAAGCAGGGGAUCUUCGGACCUUGCGCGAUUGAAUGAGCCGAUGUCGGAUUAGCUAGUUGGCGGGGUAAAGGCCCACCAAGGCGACGAUCCGUAGCUGGUCUGAGAGGAUGAUCAGCCACACUGGAACUGAGACACGGUCCAGACUCCUACGGGAGGCAGCAGUGGGGAAUAUUGGACAAUGGGCGCAAGCCUGAUCCAGCCAUACCGCGUGGGUGAAGAAGGCCUUCGGGUUGUAAAGCCCUUUUGUUGGGAAAGAAAAGCAGCAGGUUAAUACCCCGCUGUUCUGACGGUACCCAAAGAAUAAGCACCGGCUAACUUCGUG